This 254-nucleotide ribosomal RNA is filed under the name uncultured bacterium. RNAcentral's name for it is "partial 16S ribosomal RNA". It matches the Rfam family "Bacterial small subunit ribosomal RNA", at positions 524 to 776 of the family's 1533-position model. The record is from RNAcentral.
GACGUAGGGCGCGAGCGUUGUCCGGUUUUAUUGGGCGUAUAGAGCUCGUAGGCGGUGUGUCACGUCGGCCGUGCAAACCUGCAGCUUAACUGUGGGCGUGCGGUCGAUACGGGCAUCACUGGAGUUCGGCAGGGGAGACUGGAAUUCCUGGUGUAGCGGUGAAAUGCGCAGAUAUCGGGAGGAACACCAAUGGCGAAAGCAGGUAACUGGACUAUUACUGACACUCAGCUGCGAAAGCUAGGGGAGCAAACAGG